RNAcentral lists this ribosomal RNA (1672 nucleotides) under Conorhynchos conirostris. Its description in RNAcentral is "partial 16S ribosomal RNA". The stretch from base 100 to 1582 matches the Rfam family "Bacterial large subunit ribosomal RNA". Lineage: Eukaryota; Metazoa; Chordata; Actinopteri; Siluriformes. The record is from RNAcentral.
GCUAAACAACUAGCUUAAUUACCUAAAACAACCAAAACAACAUUACAAUAAUUCUAAUAAACCACAACAAAUCAAACUAAAACAUUCUACCGCCCCAGUAUGGGAGACAGAAAAGGCACACUUUCAAAGCCAUAACAAAAGUACCGCAAGGGAACGCUGAAAGAGAAAUGAAACAAAUCAUUAAAGCAUAAUAAAGCAGAGACUCACCCUCGUACCUUUUGCAUCAUGAUUUAGCCAGUAAACCCGAGCAAAGCGAACUUUAGUUCGAAGCCCCGAAACUAAGUGAGCUACCCCGAGACAGCCUAUAAACUAGGGCCAACCCGUCUCUGUGGCAAAAGAGUGGGAAGAUCUCCGGGUAGAGGUGACAGACCUACCGAACUUAGUUAUAGCUGGUUGCCUAAGAAAUGAAUAGAAGUUCAGCCCCAUACUCCUCAACUCACAAAUAUCUCCAAAUAAAACAUGAGCCAGAGAAAUACAUGAGAGUUAGUCAAAGGAGGUACAGCUCCUUUGAAACAGGAUACAACCUUAUUCAGGAGGUUAUGGAUUAUACUAAACAAGAUACACCGUUUCAGUGGGCCUAAAAGCAGCCACCCAAACAGAAAGCGUUAAAGCUCAGACGGAUUAAAAAUCUACUAUUUAAAUAUUUAAUUCAAAACCCCUAACCAUAUUAGGCCGCCCUAUGUUAACAUAGAAGAGAUUCUGCUAAAAUGAGUAAUAAGAAGGAACCCCCUUCUCCUUAGCCUACGUGUAUGCUAGAUAGGACCACCCACUAGCAAUUACCGAACCCAACCGAAGAGGGUAAUGUAUAUACAUUUAAACAUCAAGAAAUCCCCACACAUCCCCAUCGUUAACCCCACACUGGAAGGCUUAAUAUAAAGGAAAGACAAAAAGAAAAGGAAGGAACUCGGCAAACACAAGCCUCGCCUGUUUACCAAAAACAUCGCCUCCUGCCAAAAUCAAUGUAUAGGAGGUCUUGCCUGCCCAGUGAGAAACUUUUCAACGGCCGCGGUAUUUUGACCGUGCAAAGGUAGCGCAAUCACUUGUCUUUCAAAUGAAGACCUGUAUGAAUGGUGGAACGAGGGCUUAACUGUCUCCCCUUUCAAGUCAAUGAAAUUGAUCUGCCCGUGCAGAAGCGGACAUACAAAUACAAGACGAGAAGACCCUUUGGAGCUUUAGAUUACAAGACCAACUAUGUCAAGGACCCCAAACCAAAUCAAACUAAAUAAAACACUGGUCUUUAUCUUUUGUUGGGGCGACCGCGGGAAAAAAUAAAGCUCCCACGAGGACCGAGGCUACUAGCCUUAAAACCAAGAAAGACAUUUCCAAGUCACAGAAUAUCUGACCAUAAAGAUCCGGCCAAGCGCCGACCAACGGACCAAGUUACCCUAGGGAUAACAGCGCAAUCCCCUUCCAGAGUCCAUAUCGACAAGGGGGUUUACGACCUCGAUGUUGGAUCAGGACAUCCUAAUGGUGCAGCCGCUAUUAAGGGUUCGUUUGUUCAACGAUUAAAGUCCUACGUGAUCUGAGUUCAGACCGGAGUAAUCCAGGUCAGUUUCUAUCUGUAACGCUACUAUUCCCAGUACGAAAGGACCGGAAUAAGGAGGCCAAUGCUACAAUCACGCCCCACCCCAACUCAAUGACAUCAACUAAAUUAAACAAAGGGAGAGCAUAA